GACGAACGCUGGCGGCGUGCUUCAUACAUGCAAGUCGAACGAGAAGCUGACUUCGGUCAGUGGAAAGUGGCGGACGGGUGAGUAAUAUGUAGGAAAUCUUCCUUUAGGAGGUUGACAACAGAGGGAAACUUCUGCUAAUACCCCAUAUGAGCGUAGCUGACAUGCUAUUCUUGAAAACUCCGGUGCCUAAAGAUGAGCCUGCAUCUGAUUAGCUAGUUGGUAGUGUAAUGGACUACCAAGGCGACGAUCAGUAGCUGGUUUGAGAGGAUGAUCAGCCACAAUGGGACGGAGACACGGCCCAGAAUCAUACGAGAGGCAGCAGUAGGGAAAUUUGCGCAAUGGGCGAAAGCGUGACGGAGCAACGCGGCGUGAACGAUUAAGCCUGGGGGAGUGUAAAGUUCUGUCAGUGGGGACGAAACUUGACGGUACCCAAAGAGGAAGCACCGGCUAACUCCGUG
RNAcentral lists this ribosomal RNA (458 nucleotides) under uncultured bacterium. RNAcentral describes it as "partial 16S ribosomal RNA". It matches the Rfam family "Bacterial small subunit ribosomal RNA", at positions 28 to 507 of the family's 1533-position model. The record is from RNAcentral.